This 114-nucleotide non-coding RNA is filed under the name Acidothermus cellulolyticus. RNAcentral describes it as "TPP sequence". It matches the Rfam family "TPP riboswitch aptamer (THI element)". From Rfam's summary of the family: Vitamin B(1) in its active form thiamin pyrophosphate (TPP) is an essential coenzyme that is synthesised by coupling of pyrimidine and thiazole moieties in bacteria. The previously detected thiamin-regulatory element, thi box was extended, resulting in a new, highly conserved RNA secondary structure, the THI element, which is widely distributed in eubacteria and also occurs in some archaea. Analysis of operon structures identified a large number of new candidate thiamin-regulated genes, mostly transporters, in various prokaryotic organisms. The record is from RNAcentral. RNAcentral also lists the same sequence under 1 other name. Lineage: Bacteria; Bacillati; Actinomycetota; Actinomycetes; Acidothermales; Acidothermaceae.
AGCUCGUCCCACGGGAGCCCCGCGUUCCGGGGCUGAGAGGGCGGCAGGACCGGCCGCCGACCGUUAGCACCUGAUCCGGUUCACACCGGCGUAGGGAGGAGUAUCCAGUGACCA